AUUGAACGCUGGCGGCAGGCCUAACACAUGCAAGUCGAGCGGAUGAAGGGAGCUUGCUCCUGGAUUCAGCGGCGGACGGGUGAGUAAUGCCUAGGAAUCUGCCUGGUAGUGGGGGAUAACGUCCGGAAACGGGCGCUAAUACCGCAUACGUCCUGAUGGAGAAAGUGGGGGAUCUUCGGACCUCACGCUAUCAGAUGAGCCUAGGUCGGAUUAGCUAGUUGGUAGGGUAAAGGCCUACCAAGGCGACGAUCCGUAACUGGUCUGAGAGGAUGAUCAGUCACACUGGAACUGAGACACGGUCCAGACUCCUACGGGAGGCAGCAGUGGGGAAUAUUGGACAAUGGGCGAAAGCCUGAUCCAGCCAUGCCGCGUGUGUGAAGAAGGUCUUCGGAUUGUAAAGCACUUUAAGUUGGGAGGAAGGGCAGUAAGUUAAUACCUUGCUGUUUUGACGUUACCAACAGAAUAAGCACCGGCUAACUUCGUG
Molecule: ribosomal RNA, 484 nt
Filed under: uncultured bacterium
Lineage: Bacteria
Description: partial 16S ribosomal RNA
Rfam family: Bacterial small subunit ribosomal RNA
Source: RNAcentral